Molecule: transfer RNA, 77 nt
Filed under: Candidatus Edwardsbacteria bacterium GWE2_54_12
Lineage: Bacteria; Candidatus Edwardsiibacteriota
Also listed under: 9 other names
Description: tRNA-Ile
Rfam family: tRNA
About the family: Transfer RNA (tRNA) molecules are approximately 80 nucleotides in length. Their secondary structure includes four short double-helical elements and three loops (D, anti-codon, and T loops).
Source: RNAcentral
GGGCCCAUAGCUCAGUUGGUUAGAGCGCGUCCCUGAUAAGGACGAGGUCAGAAGUUCGACUCUUCUUGGGCCCACCA